Molecule: ribosomal RNA, 500 nt
Filed under: uncultured bacterium
Lineage: Bacteria
Description: partial 16S ribosomal RNA
Rfam family: Bacterial small subunit ribosomal RNA
Source: RNAcentral
AUUGAACGCUGGCGGCAGGCUUAACACAUGCAAGUCGAGCGGGGGAAGGUAGCUUGCUACCGGACCUAGCGGCGGACGGGUGAGUAAUGCUUAGGAAUCUGCCUAUUAGUGGGGGACAACAUCUCGAAAGGGAUGCUAAUACCGCAUACGUCCUACGGGAGAAAGCAGGGGAGCUUCGGACCUUGCGAUAAUAGAUGAGCCUAAGUCGGAUUAGCUAGUCGGUGGGGUAAAGGCCUACCAAGGCGACGAUCUGUAGCGGGUCUGAGAGGAUGAUCCGCACACUGGGACUGAGACACGGCCCAGACUCCUACGGGAGGCAGCAGUGGGGAAUAUUGGACAAUGGGGGGAACCCUGAUCCAGCCAUGCCGCGUGUGUGAAGAAGGCCUUAUGGUUGUAAAGCACUUUAAGCGAGGAGGAGGCUACUUUAGUUAAUACCUAGAGAUAGUGGACGUUACUCGCAGAAUAAGCACCGGCUAACUCUGUGCCAGCCGCCGCAGUAA